AAGAUGAACUGGCAGCUGAGACUUGGCGGUCACUUACUGGCUUCGACACUAUGCAUGUUACUGGGCUAAACUGCUACAAUUGCACGAUGAUCCCAUUUGGUAAUACCUGCUCAUCAACUGCUACCUGCUCCUACCCUGAUGGAGUCUGUGCUAUUCAGGUGGCAGAAGUUGUCAUGGGCUCUGUAAGACUGAAAGUAAAGGACCAUAUUUGCCUUCCCGUCUGCCCAACGAGUUCUCAAACUGCUGAGAUCCUGGGUACUGUUGUCGACAUGAAGAUUUCCUGUUGCAAUACAGAUCUUUGCAACGCAGCAGGGCCCACUGGAGGCAGCACCUGGACCAUGGCAAGGGUGCUUCUGUUCAGCCUGGGCUCCGUCCUCCU
Molecule: long non-coding RNA, 379 nt
Filed under: Rattus norvegicus (Norway rat)
Lineage: Eukaryota; Metazoa; Chordata; Mammalia; Rodentia; Muridae
Description: long non-coding RNA NONRATT033569
Source: RNAcentral